Molecule: small RNA, 90 nt
Filed under: Pedobacter sp. AK013
Lineage: Bacteria; Pseudomonadati; Bacteroidota; Sphingobacteriia; Sphingobacteriales; Sphingobacteriaceae
Description: Flavo-1 RNA
Rfam family: Flavo-1 RNA
Source: RNAcentral
UUCUAAACCGGAUUGCAGGGGAGAUCCUUUUUGCUGCCAUGAGCGGGGGAAGGAGGGCAAAAAAGAUCGCAUCGGAAAGCCGGAAGAAAC